UGGAAUGUUGCAGAGCCCACGGGAUCUCUGGUGUUAGGACAUCAGCAGGAGUUUCUAUUGUUUCACUCAAUAAGACGUACAGGGUGGAUGUCACAUCAUCGUCGUGGCUGGGAUCUCUGAAGAUGGAGGCCCAAAGCUCCAGCGACAUGCUGCUGUCCAGAAAGAGGAGGAGAGAGAGCUCCACCCGGGACACAGAGGAGGGCGAGAGGCUUGUGAAAGUCCCCAGAUGUACUGUGGGAUUGAAGCACCCUGCGCCUUUUGCAGAUGAGCUGGAGCCAGUGACUAAAAAGCCCUACGUGAGGGUCAACAUGGAGGAGGCGAAGAGGGGGACACA
This is a long non-coding RNA of Notothenia coriiceps (black rockcod), 334 nucleotides long. RefSeq lists it as uncharacterized. Lineage: Eukaryota; Metazoa; Chordata; Actinopteri; Perciformes; Nototheniidae. The record is from RefSeq and is a predicted model, not a curated record. The transcript is spliced from 3 exons.